GAUGAACGCUGGCGGCGUGCUUAACACAUGCAAGUCGAACGGAGAAAGGGUAGCUUGCUAUCUUUUUCUUAGUGGCGGACGGGUGAGUAACGCGUGGGUAACCUGCCCUUUGCAGGGGGGAUAACAGUGAGAAAUCACUGCUAAUACCGCAUACCAACUUCUUUCGCAUGAAGGAAGUUUGAAAGAUUUAUCGGCAAAGGAUGGACCCGCGUUGGAUUAGCUAGUUGGUGAGAUAACAGCCCACCAAGGCAACGAUCCAUAGCCGGCCUGAGAGGGUGAACGGCCACACUGGGACUGAGACACGGCCCAGACUCCUACGGGAGGCAGCAGUGGGGAAUAUUGCACAAUGGGCGAAAGCCUGAUGCAGCGACGCCGCGUGAAGGAUGAAGGUCUUCGGAUUGUAAACUUCUAAUCAGCAGGGAAGAAAGGGCUUAUAGCCUAUGACGGUACCUGACUAAGAAGCCCCGGCUAACUACGUGCCAGCAGCCGCGGUAAAGCUAACGU
Molecule: ribosomal RNA, 504 nt
Filed under: uncultured bacterium
Lineage: Bacteria
Description: bacterial SSU rRNA
Rfam family: Bacterial small subunit ribosomal RNA
Source: RNAcentral